GACCCGACUUGGAGCCCACCAGCGUCAUCUCUGCACAGGCAAGGGCCUCCUCCCUCGUCCUGGCCCUUCCCUGCCCCCAGAAAGCCUGCGAGACCAUCCUGGUCAGGCCAUCUGUUUCCUGCCCCUUCGGGAAGGCCGUCCCGCCCAGGCCUUGGCAGCAGAAAUCCCGCAUCUCCUGUCCCCACGCCCCUCCGUGCCCGGGGUCCUGGCCCUGGGGUGGCUGGCUUAGUGCGACCACGGCCCGGCUGCCUGUUGGGCUCCCGCAGCCCCUCCGGCGGGGCCUCCGCCCUUUUGGCGUCCGGCUCCUGCCCCUGCCCUCCUGGCCCAUUGUCUUUCCCCAGAAGCAGGGUGUGGGGCGGUCCGGGAGCCCGGGACUAUUAGCACCGAUUCCUUUUCCUGCUGUGGAGCCAGUGACAGUGAUGUCCCACACCCUGCCCCCGUGCCCAGGGGCCACGAGCUUUCCCUGUCCGGGGGUCUCAGCCCGUACUCGGAGGAGGGGCCCCAUGCAGAGCUUCCCUGAGACGCAGGCCUCGUGCCCCCGGCCCGGAAGUGGCUCCUCUUGGGCAACAUUCUGAACAUCGGUUUGCAAGGACUUUCCCUUCAGGGGUGAAAAGCCCUCACCUGGGCUAAGCUCCAGACUCAGAGCCCCUCUCGGGGCAAAGCCAGGGAACCUCUCGGUGCUACCUGAAGGGUCUGCACGGACGCUGCCAGCCUCCGACCCGGCUCCUGCUCUCGACACAGCGGGCUUGGAUCUGUAAGCUGUGUGGUUCUGUUCUCCUCGGGAGGCCGCGUUCCUGCAUUCAUCCUGCAGACACCUACUGGGACGUGGACCUGCUCGGCCCGGGAACAGACAGGGGCAGUGCCCGAACCCGCAGUGCGCCUGGGCCCGCGGGCAUCCGGUCCCAGCCCAACAAACAACCAGCGCGGAAAUGGGGACACAGGUUGCUUGAGGCCGUGUCUGCUGGGCUGAGUGAAGGGAGCGCAGACGUGAACCAGGCCACGGUGGCCGGGGUGGGGGCGCGUGGCCACGGACUGGGUCAGCACAGGCCAACAGAGCUGCUUGUGAUGAUGGAUGUCGCACAUCCACGCUGUGACCCCAGAGCCCUGGAAACCGGCUUUCUAGUUUCCCUGAUUUGCAAUUCCCUUAAAUUUCACUAGGAUCGCGCGGCCAGCAGCUGUUGUGUUGGGCAGUGCCCUCCUAGGCAGGGAUGGCCACGUGCCUGUCCCCUGGGGCUGGAGGCCGCUCACGUGUCUGAGAAGCCAGAGGAGGACAGUCAGAGGCACAGCGGGCAGCGAGGUGCAAGAGGGUGGUUCUUUUUGACUCUAGAUGACGCGUUUCCGGUUGUUUUCAGCCCCGGGAACUGCGGGUCAGUUGUAGUAUGCAAUCCCGAGUGAGGACGAGAGUUGCCCAGCCGACCCUGGGCUUGCACCCUUGCUCCCCUUAGCAGAGGACGUCAGGGGGAAGCUGCGAAGGGACAGCUGCUCCUGAUGUCCCAGAAGGCAGGUGCAUUAGUGAGGCUCCCCAGAGAAACAAAUCACUAGGUUCCUGCGAAGCCCUUCCGCUCCAUCCAGACUUCCUGACUCAGCCCACCGAUCCCAGUGUUCGCCUCAUCCAGAAACAUCCUCACGGACACGCCCAGAGCGAUGCUUGACCCGAUGUCUGGGCCACCUAUGGCCAGUCAAGUUGACGCACAGAAUUACCCAUCAUAGCAGGUGCCUCGUUGUGCCCUAAACAUGCACAGGAUGCCGUGGGUGUUAGUCAAGGAGCCGUCUCUGUCCGCAGCCCCCGCGACCCAGGCCCUGGGUUUCAGCUCUGCAACUCCGCUUUGGCCGUGCCUGAUCCAGGAGAGACAACCAACCGGAGACACCACGUUCAGAGGCUACCUGGAGCCCUGUGGCCAGUGCAACCAGUGAGCCGGACAAUCAGAACUUCUCUCUGUCACGGGGCUGGGACUCAGGAACUUGAAGACUCAGUACCUGGCCUGUCUGUACCAUAGCCUCGUGUCUCCAGGGAGGAGGGUACCACUGACCAUCUCUGUUUGCCACAGAAUUAAGAGGAUGAGGACCGUUUUUGCCAGGGCUGUCUCCAGUAUUGGAAACUCCCGUGGUGUCUUGCAUGGAGAUGGACAAAAUGUAGGCACACAGAAAAUACUCCUGAAUGGACUGAAAGUUUCCACUGGAGAAGAAGAAAACUUCCUUCUCGAGAAGCCGACAGCCACCAGCCAGGGCAGAGCCUGCCUGCCAGCAGCCUGCAGGGCCCCCCCAUGCCUGAGGGCUUUCUAGACCCUGCAGCUCCUCUUUGGGGGCUGUCUUUCCCCCAGCCUCUGGGGUCCCCAUCACCCUCUGCAAAUCACGCUUUGUCUCCUACCACUUGUGACUCCACGUUCCCUCCCUCGGGUCCAUGCUCCACGGUCCCCAUGCCCGCGGGCCACCCUUCCCUCUGCCUAGUGAGCUCCUCACCAUCCUGCCAGGCUCCUGCGGAGACCUUCGGACUCACAUCAGCAGGGAGCAGGGGGAGGGUGUGGGCCCAGGAGAGGGAGGCGGUAGGAGUCACAACCACCCCUGAUGGCCCCUCACGUGAUGACUCUUGGGGGGUGCCGGUCUGCCCCCUCCCUGCCGGGCCCCCACACCAGAGAGACCACCUCUGCUCUCCCCCCGGGCUGGGCCCACCCAGAGUUCCAAGGCCCGGGACCUGCUCCUCACACGGCCUCUGGCUCUCUGCUCGGCCGCAGUUUUUCCAUGGCCCCGGCAGCGAGUCAUGCCAUGGGCGCGGAAAGCCUCCGUGACCUUCAAGUGAACGUUCACAUCUUAGCCAGAGACAUCCCAUUAUCUUCACAUACUUUUCAGGGGUUGCUUGCCCUGGUGCCUCCCUCGUGUCCUACUGGGCUGUCCUCGUUUUCUCCAUCUGUAAAACAGGCAAGUGCUGAUGCCCCCUGCCAGGCUCCAUGCAGGGCUCACUUCGAGGACUCACCCCGGGCUGGCCUCACGUACCUCGGGGUUAUCGCUUUCUGAGCUCUGACCUCACCAAUCAGAGGGCUGGAACCCACCACCUUCAAAUGGAAACGGACCUUGGGGUUUGGACACUCAGGGCCAGUGCAGUCGAGGGCCCCCCUAGGGUCACCCAGCUGCCGGGCAGAAGGACAGCACAGUCAAGCUUCCUGCUGGAGGCCGUUCGGUGAGAGCUGGGCUGCUCUCCCAGGCCACCGGGAGACUUUUGGGAGGGCAGCAUCCUGGUUGGAGACUUUUGGGAGGGCAGCAUCUGUUAGUGCAGACUCCGGUGGGGUCCGUCUGCGGGAUCCCUGUCCCUAUGGCCCUCCCUGUGGGCCUCCCUGUAAGCUCCGUACCCCUGGGCUUGCCCUGCAGCUGUACCCCAGUCUCUUCCAGCCGGAGGGAGCCAGGAGGGGCUGCCGUGGGCCCAUCUGAUGAUGAGCUGUAUGGAGGGCGGGCUUGGGGAGUCAAGUGGCAGGGUCCCCACACCCUUCCCACCCACCCUCCCUAUUUACUCACCCAUCACUUGUGCAUUCCAGCAGGCAUAAGGCGGACGGUCCUUGUCUCCCUGAAAUGAACAUCUCUGGUCGGCGUGACAAAUCUGGAGGCCAGACCAGACUGUCACUGCAGCUGGAUCCGUGUGUCCGCCUCCCUGUCCUGUCCAUGUCCCAGCCCCAUCACUGUACAUCCAGGGCCCCCCGACAGUGAAGUCUCGGUCCCCACCUGCCCCUCCGGCCAGCCUUAGCGUGUGGGGGUCGGGGCUAAAACAGAAGCCUGAACCCCGAGUCAGGGUCGUUUGUUUCCAUGCCUUCCUGGUGCAGCAGAGCACGAGUCCCACAGCAGAACCGUGUCUCUUUCUGCCUGUGGGUCCUCAGCAGCUGGUGCAGACGUCCUUUGAGGCAGGUGUGGACGAGUGAAUGAAUGAGUGUGUGAAUGAGUGAAUGAUCAUCAAGAGACCCGAGAUCCUUCUGGUCUCAAGUGGCCAGGAAAGCAUCAUCAAACAGCCCAACGUGAGAGCGGGUGGGAAGUUGUAGGAACCGUACAGAUUCAGUGGAAAUGUGAGUGUGAGGGAGCCGUGACCUGAAGGGAGACUCGGAACAGAGUCCUGGCUUCCUAAGACAGGAGGGUCAUUGUGGAGGCCCCGGAGCUGCCCCAUCCCAGGAGGAGGCAGAGCCCCUGAGCGAGCAGCCCGGAGCCAGGCCUUCGUGGAGAAGGAAGGUGCUCCGGGCCCCGAGACCCCAGUAGAGGUGCCCCGGGAAAGUGUCCCAUUCCCGCGUCCGCUGUCUCACUUGUGCCACCGUUCCUGCAUCUGGCAUCCACCCGUCACAGAGCCCAGGGCCCUCAAACGUCAGGAAAACCCGGCUGGAACUAUUUCUUGGUGUAUAUAUUUUUUGGAAAGUAUGUUCACAAUUGCCGCGCUUGGGGACACAAGCAGAGUGCUUCCUCGGGAGCUGAAGGUGAGAUGCACCUCCGCCACGAAGACGCAGCGAGG
Molecule: long non-coding RNA, 4480 nt
Organism: Neofelis nebulosa (Clouded leopard)
Lineage: Eukaryota; Metazoa; Chordata; Mammalia; Carnivora; Felidae
Exons: 4
Source: RefSeq, a predicted model, not a curated record